RNAcentral lists this ribosomal RNA (434 nucleotides) under uncultured Oscillospiraceae bacterium. RNAcentral describes it as "bacterial SSU rRNA". It matches the Rfam family "Bacterial small subunit ribosomal RNA", at positions 341 to 792 of the family's 1533-position model. Lineage: Bacteria; Bacillati; Bacillota; Clostridia; Eubacteriales; Oscillospiraceae. The record is from RNAcentral.
ACGGGAGGCAGCAGUGGGGAAUAUUGGGCAAUGGGCGAAAGCCUGACCCAGCAACGCCGCGUGAAGGAAGAAGGUUUUCGGAUUGUAAACUAUUUUAGACAGGGAAGAAAAUGACAGUACCUGUAGAAUAAGCUCCGGCUAACUACGUGCCAGCAGCCGCGGUAAUACGUAGGGAGCAAGCGUUAUCCGGAUUUAUUGGGUGUAAAGGGUGCGUAGACGGGAAAUCAAGUUAGUUGUGAAAGCCCUCGGCUUAACUGAGGAACUGCAACUAAAACUAAUUUUCUUGAGUGCAGGAGAGGAAAGCGGAAUUCCUAGUGUAGCGGUGAAAUGCGUAGAUAUUAGGAGGAACACCAGUGGCGAAGGCGGCUUUCUGGACUGUAACUGACGUUGAGGCACGAAAGUGUGGGGAGCAAACAGGAUUAGAUACCCUGGUA